ACAAAGUGAAAUAAAACAAAGUCAUUUGACUUGGAGGGAAACCCACAGAAACACAAUACACCCAUUUCCUCCCUCUUCCAAAACAGGACUUUCCCCCAAAUAAUACGAAUUAAACUGCCGCAGCAUGAUUCCAGCUCCGGCAAAAAGGUUAUAAACUCCGGCAACGACAUUCCCGAACGUUUGGUGAAUUCCGGCGACCGUACGAGACCUAGCCUUCUCCAAUAAUAGUGAAGAGCUCAGAUUUUGGCCCAUUGCAAAAGCUCACAGAAACUAGAGUUUGUUUGGUUGAGGUUCAGAAUCCCAGUACAUAUAAAAGGUAUGAAAACUAUAAUUAGAUUUUUGAGGGUUCAAUGUCUAAUUUUUGUGUGCAUUAGUGCAACUGGAAGACACCAUUUCUCCUGCAACUUAGGCUUUACUGUAUCUAGAAGACGCCAUUGAUAAUUAUACUAGUUCCUGUUUCCUUUUGAAUAUUUAGUAGUAAUUCCUCUCUUUCUUACCCAAUAUUCCUUUUCAAUAUGUAGUAAUAAUUCCUCUUCUUUUCCCCAAUGUAGGCAUGUAUCUUGAUGGCAGUAAGAAGAUACCAGUGAUUAUUAUUUCCCAUUUCCUUUUGGAUAUGUAGUAGUAAUCCCUCUCUUUUUUCCCCAAUAUUCCUUU
RNAcentral lists this long non-coding RNA (654 nucleotides) under Olea europaea (common olive). Its description in RNAcentral is "long non-coding RNA (OEUR_LNC000302)". Lineage: Eukaryota; Viridiplantae; Streptophyta; Magnoliopsida; Lamiales; Oleaceae. The record is from RNAcentral.